UUAAAGAAGCGGGGAUCGAACCCGCAGCCAAGAAAUCAAAAUUCUUCGUUUUCCCUAUUAAACUACUCCUUA
This 72-nucleotide transfer RNA is filed under the name Diadema setosum. RNAcentral describes it as "partial tRNA-Gln". Lineage: Eukaryota; Metazoa; Echinodermata; Echinoidea; Diadematoida; Diadematidae. The record is from RNAcentral.